CAACCUCCACCUCCGGGGUUCAAGCAAUUCUCCUGCCUCAGCCCCCUGAGUAGCUGGGAUUACAGGUGCGCACCACCACAUCCAGCUAAUUUUUGUAUUUUUAGUAGAGACGGCAUUUCACCAUGUUGGCCAGGCUGGUCUUGAACUCCUGACCUCAUGAUCCGCCCGCCUCAGCCUCCCAAAGUGCUGGGAUUACAGGUGUGAGCCACCGUGCCCAGCCU
Molecule: long non-coding RNA, 221 nt
Filed under: Homo sapiens (human)
Lineage: Eukaryota; Metazoa; Chordata; Mammalia; Primates; Hominidae
Description: HSALNT0104093
Source: RNAcentral